Camelus dromedarius (Arabian camel) is the source of this 171-nucleotide long non-coding RNA. RefSeq lists it as uncharacterized. The record is from RefSeq and is a predicted model, not a curated record. The transcript is spliced from 3 exons. NCBI's taxonomy places the organism in Eukaryota, Metazoa, Chordata, Mammalia, Artiodactyla, Camelidae.
GGUUUGGAAUUACAUGGUUUGAGAAUUUCUUGCACAGAACAUCUGCAGUUUUGGAAAGGAGGACUCGAGCCGGGAUGACAGCCUCUGAGAUCGCUCUGAGGGACUGCUCCAAAGAGUUGGUUUUGGACCAAGAGGACCACCUGAAGAGAUCGGAGGAAAGAAGGAGCAGGG